This 253-nucleotide ribosomal RNA is filed under the name uncultured bacterium. RNAcentral describes it as "partial 16S ribosomal RNA". It matches the Rfam family "Bacterial small subunit ribosomal RNA", at positions 524 to 776 of the family's 1533-position model. The record is from RNAcentral.
UACGUAGGGUGCAAGCGUUGUCCGGAAUUAUUGGGCGUAAAGAGCUCGUAGGCGGUUUGUCGCGUCUGCUGUGAAAACGCGAGGCUCAACCUCGCGCCUGCAGUGGGUACGGGCAGACUAGAGUGUGGUAGGGGAGAUUGGAAUUCCUGGUGUAGCGGUGGAAUGCGCAGAUAUCAGGAGGAACACCGAUGGCGAAGGCAGAUCUCUGGGCCGAUACUGACGCUGAGGAGCGAAAGCGUGGGGAGCGAACAGG